RNAcentral lists this long non-coding RNA (1272 nucleotides) under Chloebia gouldiae (Gouldian finch). RNAcentral's name for it is "Erythrura gouldiae (Gouldian finch) lncRNA (ENSEGOG00005013585.1)". Lineage: Eukaryota; Metazoa; Chordata; Aves; Passeriformes; Passeridae. The record is from RNAcentral.
CUGAGGCCAAGCUCCGUCAGUAAAUCUCUCAGCAUUCCUUAGGGUGUCUCACUUCCCUCGGGAGCGCGAGGCAGCCAGUAUAAAAGCUCGGCCAUCCCAGGGCUCCUCACUCAACUGACACCGAGCAUCGCGACGUUCCCACCAGCACCGAAGAGUCACUGCUCCAAGAUGUGCUCCAGACAAAGCUCCGGAGGCUGCCAUGGGAUGUCCUCCCAGUCCAGCGGGUGCCACAGCGAGGGCUCCGGUUGCCACGGGAGCGGCUCCUCCAGCUACCAGUCCCAGGGCUCCUCCUGCUGUGGGGGCGGCGGGGGCUCCGGCAAAGUCAUCAUCAGCUCUGGUGGUGGUGGAGGAGGAUCCUGCUGCAGUGGGGGCUCCUCUGGAUACGGGAUAGGAGGGGGUUACAGUGGUGGCUCUUCAGGAUCAAAGAGCAUCAUUGUAGGUGGAGGUAGUGGGGGUUCCUCUGGAUGCUGUAGUGGAGGAUCCAGCUAUGGGUAUGGUGGGUCUUCAGGAUCAAAGAGCAUCAUUGUAGGUGGAGGUAGUGGAGGUUCCUCUGGAUACUGUGGUGGAGGAUCCAGCUACGGGAUGGGCGGAGGAUAUGGUGGGUCUUCAGGAUCAAAGAGCAUCAUUGGAGGUGGAGGUUCCUCUGGAUACUGUGGUGGAGGAUCCAGCUAUGGGAUGGGCGGAGCAUACGGUGGUGGCUCUUCAGGGACAAAGGUCAUCAUUGGAGGGGGAAGCAGUGGAGGUUCCUCUGGAUGCUGCAGUGGAGGAUCUUCAGGAUAUGGCAUGGGAGGAGGGUACGGUGGAUCUUCAGGAUCAAAGAGCAUCAUUGGAGGUGGAGGCAGUGGAGGUUCCUCUGGAUGCUGCAGUGGAGGAUCCAGCUAUGGGAUGGGAGGAGGAUGCAGCAGCGGCUCCUCAGGCCAGACCAUCAUCAUCAGCUCUGGAGGGGGCAGCGGAGGCUCCUCCCAGCAGAAAUGUCCCAUUGUCAUCCCCAGCGUGGUGUCCCACCAGUGCAAGCAGAGCUCCUACUGGCCCUGCCAGCAGAAGUAACAGCCCUGGGCAGCUCCAGUUCUGAGUGUCUGCCACGGCUCCUGUUUACCCCCAGCCCUGGCUCUGCUGCCUGGUCCUUCCCAGUGUGUCCUCUCCUGUCCCCUGGAUGCUGCACCCCCGUGUGAGGUCUCCAGGAUUGCCCUGCUCCUGCUCCUGGUGUUGGGGUGCCUUUGAUAAUGUCCUGCCACUUUUUACAUCCAAUAAAUGUUACAAUUCCUCAAACCA